Molecule: long non-coding RNA, 710 nt
Filed under: Eutrema salsugineum
Lineage: Eukaryota; Viridiplantae; Streptophyta; Magnoliopsida; Brassicales; Brassicaceae
Description: long non-coding RNA (ESAL_LNC001316)
Source: RNAcentral
GUCGACCAAAGAUUUCAUUCAGCCCAAAGGGCAAACAUACAAGGUACAGAGUCCAAGAUCAAAACAAGCCCAUUAAAACAAACAUACAGCACAGUCAACACGUGUAUACACAUGUGUUAACUCAAUAAGCUAAUAAAAGACAUGUGUCUUGAUUUGAGCUUGUCUUCGUUACGCUGCUGUUUCCACCACCACUCUUCGCCGCCGAUCAGAGCAAACAUGUGCUUCACCACCAACGACGAUGACCUCCACAGAAAAAGAUUUGUACCUCGAUGUUAACUUUUACCGAUCUUUACUUCUAAAUAGAAUGUGUCGGAAGAACAAGCCGAAAUAAAGAUGAUGAUGAUGCGUGCUUUUAAAACUUCUUCAGAUUCAGUCUUCAAGGAAGCUUCACCGUUGCUCGGACCCAAUUUAUUGGUCUGAGCUGUUGUCCGUCGUUGCUCCAAGUGUCGAGCAAGAGGAUGACCAGCAAAGAUAUUAAUCCAAAGCAAGAUAGAAACCUGAAACAAGAUUUAAAAGAAAAACCAGCGAUUCUGACAAAGAUAAUCACUAAAGAUCAGAAAAGAAAAGAUCCGGAUUGAACCGGAGAGAAUCCGAACUAAAUCGAAAAUUUAUUAUCCAAAAAAACGGAAAAGGAAAUCCGAACAAAGUUGGAAAAUUAAUAAAACAAAAAAACCUGAGAAAAUCCGGCUAAGAUACCGACUUCGAUGAGA